UUGUACUACAGUGCUUGAUUGACCUUUUCUGCUUUCAAACUUGCUAGCCAUAGAGCCUUCCAAUAGCUAAUCUCUUAGCCUUGAGCUUGCUUAUAUUACAUACAUUAAAGGGUGAGUUUGUAGGAUAUGAUAUAGUUUUCUUCUUACCUAAGCAUAUACAGAAAGUUAGCCUUAUACAAUUAGAUAGCUGUACCUAUUAGCAUAUUUUCUCUUCCCUUUGCUGGGGUUGCUUAACUUAAUAAGGCUACUCUGUCUAUCCUGAGUUUCCCGUUCAUAAUCUUUCCCAAGCUAGGGUACUGUGUAAGGUCGGGUAGUUAAUUACUCAGGACCCUCCAUUGAUAAUGCCUUCCAUUUUUAUAGUUCCAUUGGCAGUGAAGAGGGAUCUAGUUUUUGACAUCUAUUUCAAUUUCUUCUGCCAGCUAUGCUAUUCCUGAGCCAGUUGCAGUGACUUUUACAGUGGGUUUCCUCGCAGCCAUUGACACUUCUUCGUCUUUCCUUAAUCGAGAGAGAGUUGCCUUUGCUUCGACCUGGAAGCCUGUCUCAGUAAUUGGUAACACCUUAUCAUAUUUCCAAUUUCCUUGGAUGCAGUU
This 590-nucleotide long non-coding RNA is filed under the name Gossypium barbadense (sea-island cotton). Its description in RNAcentral is "long non-coding RNA (GBAR_LNC001938)". Lineage: Eukaryota; Viridiplantae; Streptophyta; Magnoliopsida; Malvales; Malvaceae. The record is from RNAcentral.